Molecule: transfer RNA, 84 nt
Filed under: Phycisphaera sp.
Lineage: Bacteria; Pseudomonadati; Planctomycetota; Phycisphaerae; Phycisphaerales; Phycisphaeraceae
Also listed under: 1 other name
Description: tRNA-Leu
Rfam family: tRNA
About the family: Transfer RNA (tRNA) molecules are approximately 80 nucleotides in length. Their secondary structure includes four short double-helical elements and three loops (D, anti-codon, and T loops).
Source: RNAcentral
GCGGGCAUGGCGGAAUUGGCAGACGCGCGGGAUUUAGGUUCCCGUGACCGGAAGGUUGUGCAGGUUCGACUCCUGUUGCCCGCA